RNAcentral lists this ribosomal RNA (467 nucleotides) under uncultured bacterium. Its description in RNAcentral is "bacterial SSU rRNA". It matches the Rfam family "Bacterial small subunit ribosomal RNA", at positions 328 to 792 of the family's 1533-position model. The record is from RNAcentral.
GGCCCAGACUCCUACGGGAGGCAGCAGUGAGGAAUAUUGGUCAAUGGGCGAGAGCCUGAACCAGCCAAGUCGCGUGAAGGAUGACGGCCCUACGGGUUGUAAACUUCUUUUGUCAGGGAGCAAUUGAGUCCACGUGUAGGCUUAGCGAGAGUACCUGAAGAAAAAGCAUCGGCUAACUCCGUGCCAGCAGCCGCGGUAAUACGGAGGAUGCGAGCGUUAUCCGGAUUUAUUGGGUUUAAAGGGUGCGUAGGCGGAAUAUCAGGUCAGCGGUAAAAAUUCGGGGCUCAACCCCGUCGUGCCGUUGAAACUGGCGUUCUUGAGUGGGCGAGAAGUAUGCGGAAUGCGUGGUGUAGCGGUGAAAUGCAUAGAUAUCACGCAGAACUCCGAUUGCGAAGGCAGCGUACCGGCGCCCAACUGACGCUCAUGCACGAAAGCGUGGGUAUCGAACAGGAUUAGAUACCCUAGUA